ACACACACACACACACACACACACUAACGGGUAUACACAACCAGCAUCGAUGGCGAAGUGAUUCAAAUGAGGGUUUUGGUGUUGUGCAGAACAUGCAUGUGUGUGUGUGUGUGUGUGUGUGUGU
Molecule: microRNA precursor, 124 nt
Filed under: Xyrichtys novacula (pearly razorfish)
Lineage: Eukaryota; Metazoa; Chordata; Actinopteri; Labriformes; Labridae
Source: RNAcentral